AUCAGUCAGUGAUCGGUUCAAUAUGGGGAGAGCCAUUGCUCUGAGAGCUGUACGGAGAGUUAUUCAUGCUGUAUUCAGAAGGUCUGAAAAAUUCAUAAAGUGGCCCAGUGGUGAUCGCGCUGUCAGUGUGAUACGGGGAUUUGAGAAAGCUAGUGGAUUUCCAAGAACUAUCGGGGCCAUCGAUUGUACCCAUAUUCGUAUUGAUGCUCCAAAGAAGAAUCCUGCAGAUUAUGUUAACCGCAAAGGAUUUCAUUCCAUUUAGUUACAGUUGGUUUGUGACCAUAGGACUUUGAUCACACAUUGCUACACUGGAUAUCCUGGUUCUGUCCACGAUCAACGAAUUUUUCGAUGCUCGGAAGUGGCAAACUUCUUGAAGGACGAAGAGAAAUUUCCUGCAGACAGCCAUAUUUUGGGUGAUGCCGCAUAUGAACAGCAUCAACACCUGCUCACCCUUUUCCGAGACAAUGGUCAUUUGACUGCGAGACAAAACAAUUACAACUACCGACACUCAGCAGCCAGAGUAGCAGUCGAGAGAUGCAUUGGUUUAUUAAAAGGACGUAUGCGAAGUUUACUGCACUGCUUACCAAUGUCAAGGGUAGACUUGAUGGCAGAGUAUAUUGUAGCAUGUGUAAUUCACAACAUUUGUACAUUACGAGGAGAUGAAAUAGCUGUUGUCAUAGUACCUCCACCUCCAGAAGACAAUGUGAUAGAUGACAAUGUUUUGCAUGAAGCAAGACAAAAUAUUGGUGUUCACAAAAGAAAUUUGAUUAUGUAUAGUUUGCCCUAGGUAAACUAAAUUGAUGUCCGUUAUGAACGUGUUGGAUUUAUGUUUAUUUAAGUGUCUGUACUCUGUAUUCAUAAUGAUGUGAGUGAUUACAUAAUAAAGUUACACAAAAAUACUUAGCAGAAA
RNA transcript from Harpegnathos saltator (Jerdon's jumping ant), 910 nucleotides. RefSeq lists it as uncharacterized. The record is from RefSeq and is a predicted model, not a curated record. The transcript is spliced from 2 exons. NCBI's taxonomy places the organism in Eukaryota, Metazoa, Arthropoda, Insecta, Hymenoptera, Formicidae.